CUCGUAGUUGGAUUUCUGUUGAGGUCGGGCGGUGUACGCUUCGCGUAUUAUUUGCUUCGGUCUCCGCAUCCUCUUGGGGAACGCUCGGGACUUUAUUGGACCGGCGGAAUUCAAGACUUUUACUUUGAGGAAAUUAAAGUGUUCACGGCAGGCAAGUGCUUUGAAUACAUUAGCAUGGAAUAAUAAUAUAGGACCUUCGUUCUAUUUUGCUGGUUUCUAGAACUUAGGUAAUGAUUAAUAGGGACAAUUGGGGGCAUUCGUAUCAACGCGUCAGAGGUGGAAUUCUUGGAUUGCGUUACUACGAACUACUGCGAAAGCUUUUGCCAAAGAUGUUUUCAUUGAUCAAGAACCAAAGUAUGGGGAUCGAAGACGCUUAGAUACCAUCGUAGUCUAUACCAUAAACUAUGCCAACUAAGGACCGACGGGGUUAUCCCAUGUGGCUCCUUCGGCACUUUAUGAUAAACCAACUUUUUGGGUUCCGGAGGGAUUAUGGUGCCAAAGUUGAAACUCAAAGUUACAGACAAACAGAAACGACCAGGAGUGCAACCAGCAGUUCAAAUUGACUCCGCAUGUUGAAAACUUCACCAGGUCCCAGACAUAGUAAGGGAUUGAUAGAUUGAA
This 621-nucleotide ribosomal RNA is filed under the name uncultured eukaryote. RNAcentral's name for it is "bacterial SSU rRNA". It matches the Rfam family "Eukaryotic small subunit ribosomal RNA", at positions 627 to 1252 of the family's 1831-position model. The record is from RNAcentral.